GCCUCGUGCUUGAUCACGACCUUCUACUUGUACACCUCUUUUAUCAGGGAAGAAGCGCUUUUUAUGCUACCUGCGGAACUUUCGCUUCUUAACUACGUGCCAACAUUUACGACAAUAAGUCCGGCGUCAGCGUUAUCCGGAAUUAUUGUCCGUCUUUCGCUCGUUGGCCGAUUGUCGCGACUGCUCCUCCCGUAGGAGCUCAACCUCGGGCCUGCAGUGGGUACGGGCAGACUAGAGUGCGGUAGGGGAGAUUGGAAUUCCUGGUGUAGCGGUGGAAUGCGCAGAUAUCAGGAGGAACACCGAUGGCGAAGGCAGAUCUCUGGGCCGUAACUGACGCUGAGGAGCGAAAGGGUGGGGAGCAAACAGGCUUAGAUACCCUGGUAGUCCACCCCGUAAACGUUGGGAACUAGUUGUGGGGUCCAUUCCACGGAUUCCGUGACGCAGCUAACGCAUUAAGUUCCCCGCC
RNAcentral lists this ribosomal RNA (466 nucleotides) under Microbacterium ginsengiterrae. Its description in RNAcentral is "bacterial SSU rRNA". It matches the Rfam family "Bacterial small subunit ribosomal RNA", at positions 396 to 873 of the family's 1533-position model. Lineage: Bacteria; Bacillati; Actinomycetota; Actinomycetes; Micrococcales; Microbacteriaceae. The record is from RNAcentral.